GCCCNGCUAGUUCAGUCAGUAGAGCAUGAGAUUUUUAAUCUCAAGGUCAUGGAUUCAUGCCCCACAUUGGGCA
RNAcentral lists this transfer RNA (73 nucleotides) under Neotoma lepida (desert woodrat). It matches the Rfam family "tRNA". From Rfam's summary of the family: Transfer RNA (tRNA) molecules are approximately 80 nucleotides in length. Their secondary structure includes four short double-helical elements and three loops (D, anti-codon, and T loops). The record is from Rfam by way of RNAcentral. Lineage: Eukaryota; Metazoa; Chordata; Mammalia; Rodentia; Cricetidae.